RNAcentral lists this long non-coding RNA (423 nucleotides) under Homo sapiens (human). RNAcentral's name for it is "long non-coding RNA NONHSAT119938.2". Lineage: Eukaryota; Metazoa; Chordata; Mammalia; Primates; Hominidae. The record is from RNAcentral.
GCUACGCUGAGACUCUACUUUGAUGACACAGGUGCUGGGAUAUGAAUGACAGCACAGCUCUGUGGUGGGUGAUCAAAGGCCCUGUGGUUGGCUCUAUCAUGUUAACUUUGUGCUUUUUAUUGGCAUUAUCGUCAUCCUUGUGCAGAAACUUCAGUCUCCAGACAUGGGAGGCAAUGAGUCCAGCAUCUACUUACAAAUUUAAGCCCGCGAGUCCCCAAGAAAGCCCGAGAGGACCCCCUGCCUGUGCCCUCAGACCAGCAUUCACUCCCUUUCCUAGCUGCGUGCAGAAAUGCUACUGCAAGCCACAGCGGGCUCAGCAGCACUCUUGCAAGAUGUCAGAACUGUCCACCAUUACUCUCGACUGGCCCGGUCCACCCUGCUGCUCAUCCCACUAUUCGGAAUCCACUACACAGUAUUUGCCUU